RNAcentral lists this ribosomal RNA (497 nucleotides) under uncultured bacterium. RNAcentral describes it as "partial 16S ribosomal RNA". It matches the Rfam family "Bacterial small subunit ribosomal RNA", at positions 28 to 507 of the family's 1533-position model. The record is from RNAcentral.
GACGAACGCUGGCGGCGUGCCUAAUACAUGCAAGUUGAGCGCUGAAGGUUGGUACUUGUACCAACUGGAUGAGCAGCGAACGGGUGAGUAACGCGUGGGGAAUCUGCCUUUGAGCGGGGGACAACAUUUGGAAACGAAUGCUAAUACCGCAUAAAAACUUUAAACACAAGUUUUAAGUUUGAAAGAUGCAAUUGCAUCACUCAAAGAUGAUCCCGCGUUGUAUUAGCUAGUUGGUGAGGUAAAGGCUCACCAAGGCGAUGAUACAUAGCCGACCUGAGAGGGUGAUCGGCCACAUUGGGACUGAGACACGGCCCAAACGCCUACGGGAGGCAGCAGUAGGGAAUCUUCGGCGAUGGACGAAAGUCUGACCGAGCAACGCCGAGGGAGUGAAGAAGGGUUUCGGAUCGUAAAACUCUGUUGGUAGAGAAGAACGUUGGUGAGAGUGGAAAGCUCAUCAAGUGACGGUAACUACACAGAAAGGGACGGCUAACUACGUG